AGCAGCCGCGGUAAUUCCAGCUCCAAUAGCGUAUAUUAAAGUUGUUGCAGUUAAAAAGCUCGUAGUUGAACUUCAGGCCUGGCUGGGCGGUCCGCCUUCCGGGUGAGUACUGCCUGUGGUCGGGUCCUACCUUCUGGCGAAGCGUCAUGGCCUUAACCGGCCGUGGCGGGGAAGCAGGACUUUUACUGUGAAAAAAUUAGAGUGUUCAAAGCAGGCACGCGCUUGAAUACAUUAGCAUGGAAUAAUGGAAUAGGACAGUGGUUCUAUUUGUUGGUUUCUAGGACCGUUGUAAUGAUUAAUAGGGAUAGUUGGGGGCAUUAGUAUUCAAUUGUCAGAGGUGAAAUUCUUGGAUUUAUUGAAGACUAACUACUGCGAAAGCAUUUGCCAAGGAUGUUUUCAUUAAUCAAGAACGAAAGUUAGGGGAUCGAAGACGAUCAGAUACCGUCGUAGUCUUAACCAUAAACUAUGCCGACUAGGAAUCGGGCGAUGUUGACAAAAUGACGCGCUCGGCACCU
This 515-nucleotide ribosomal RNA is filed under the name uncultured Paraglomus. RNAcentral describes it as "SSU rRNA". It matches the Rfam family "Eukaryotic small subunit ribosomal RNA", at positions 569 to 1088 of the family's 1831-position model. The record is from RNAcentral. Lineage: Eukaryota; Fungi; Glomeromycota; Glomeromycetes; Paraglomerales; Paraglomeraceae.